GCCGAAGUGGUGGAAUUGGCAGACACGCACGCUUGAGGGGCGUGUGGGCAACCGUGGGGGUUCGAGUCCCCCCUUCGGCACCA
This 83-nucleotide transfer RNA is filed under the name Nitrospinota bacterium. RNAcentral describes it as "tRNA-Leu". It matches the Rfam family "tRNA". Rfam says of the family: Transfer RNA (tRNA) molecules are approximately 80 nucleotides in length. Their secondary structure includes four short double-helical elements and three loops (D, anti-codon, and T loops). Further hydrogen bonds mediate the characteristic L-shaped molecular structure. tRNAs have two regions of fundamental functional importance: the anti-codon, which is responsible for specific mRNA codon recognition, and the 3' end, to which the tRNAs corresponding amino acid is attached (by aminoacyl-tRNA synthetases). tRNAs cope with the degeneracy of the genetic code in two manners: having more than one tRNA (with a specific anti-codon) for a particular amino acid; and 'wobble' base-pairing, i.e. permitting non-standard base-pairing at the 3rd anti-codon position. The record is from RNAcentral. Lineage: Bacteria; Pseudomonadati; Nitrospinota.